UGCAAGUCGAACGAACGAGCUUGCUCGUUAGUGGCGAACGGCUGAGUAACGCGUAGGUGACCUGCCCCGAAGUGGGGGAUAACUGCCCGAAAGGGUGGCUAAUACCGCAUAUGGCGACGCUUUCAUUGGCGUCAUCAAAGCCGCGAGGCGCUUCGGGAGGGGCCUGCGUCCGAUUAGCUCGUUGGUGGGGUAAUGGCUCACCAAGGCGACGAUCGGUAGGUGGUCUGAGAGGACGAUCACCCAGACUGGGACUGAGACACGGCCCAGACUCC
RNAcentral lists this ribosomal RNA (272 nucleotides) under uncultured bacterium. Its description in RNAcentral is "partial 16S ribosomal RNA". It matches the Rfam family "Bacterial small subunit ribosomal RNA", at positions 56 to 339 of the family's 1533-position model. The record is from RNAcentral.